Long non-coding RNA from Macadamia integrifolia, 555 nucleotides. RefSeq lists it as uncharacterized. The record is from RefSeq and is a predicted model, not a curated record. The transcript is spliced from 3 exons. Lineage: Eukaryota; Viridiplantae; Streptophyta; Magnoliopsida; Proteales; Proteaceae.
CAUGAGACAUUUUCUCAUCUUUACAAGUUCUGGACAGUAAGAGGAAAGAAGAGAGAAGAAGAAGAAGAAGAAGUGAAGAGAAGAAGAGAAGGGAAGAGAAGGAGGUUCAGCUGGAGAUUUCAGUCCUUGGGUCUUUGAUAGAGGGUUCAGCUGCAAGGAAUUUCAAAUAACUGUGAGGGAGCUAUUCAGUGCCAGGGAGAGAGAUAGAUGUGUCAAAUUGUCAGGCUGAAUGAUGAUGCAAGUAAGGUAAUGCCUUUGGGAUGUGACUUUACUUCCUCCGGACCCAAGUAAGGAGCUAGUGGUUGUUGGAUGCCAGAGGCCGAAGAGCACGAUCCGGAUUGUGCAUAUGACACUUGUGCAUAUGCGGAACCUAGAGAUGAGUGGUCAUCUUCUACUUUUUGAUACUGUAUUACAGAUUGGUAUUCCUUUGGGAAUUUAAUAUAUGUAAGUCAUGUACAGAGGUAAUUGAAAUAACUUUGUUAUGUAAUACACUAAACAUUAUCCCUGCUAACUUAUUGAUUCUUCUACUAUAUACUCUGAAUUUGAUCUAUUUAA